AUGCGGCGGUGCCGGGGCGCAGGGCUGGCAGGGCUGGCCGCGCUGCUGCUGGUGGCUGUGGGCAGAGCCCAGGUGCUGCAGGAGCCGUCAGCAGAGACCACCGAGGGCACCGAAAUCAACACCACUUGCUCUCACCCCAGUAUCCGAACCACGGAGUUCAUCCACUGGUACCGUCAGCUCCCGGGACGAGGCCCCGCUUUCCUCCUGAGCACUCUCAAAGACUCCAAAGAGCUGCGGGACCCGCCGGGGCGGCUGUGGGUGUCGGCAGAGCGCCGCUCCAGCGCCCUGUGGCUCGCCCGGCCCCGGCGCGGGGACGCGGCGGUGUAUUACUGCGGAAGUCCAGGAGACAGGAGAGAAGCCUGA
Non-coding RNA from Chroicocephalus ridibundus (black-headed gull), 363 nucleotides. The record is from the annotation of a RefSeq genome assembly. NCBI's taxonomy places the organism in Eukaryota, Metazoa, Chordata, Aves, Charadriiformes, Laridae.